UACGUAGGGGGCAAGCGUUGUCCGGAUUUAUUGGGCGUAAAGAGCGCGCAGGCGGUCGUCCAAGUCGCGUGUGAAAGCCCCGGGCUCAACCUGGGAAUGGCAUUUGGGACUGGAAGGCUCGAGAUCGGGAGAGGAGGGUGGAAUUCCCAGUGUAGAGGUGAAAUUCGUAGAUAUUGGGAAGAACACCGGUGGCGAAGGCGGCUCUCUGGACCGAUACUGACGCUGAGGCGCGAAAGCGUGGGGAGCAAACAGG
Molecule: ribosomal RNA, 253 nt
Filed under: uncultured bacterium
Lineage: Bacteria
Description: partial 16S ribosomal RNA
Rfam family: Bacterial small subunit ribosomal RNA
Source: RNAcentral